AGAGGACUGAAAAUCCUCGUGUCACCA
Molecule: transfer RNA, 27 nt
Filed under: Lythrum maritimum
Lineage: Eukaryota; Viridiplantae; Streptophyta; Magnoliopsida; Myrtales; Lythraceae
Description: partial tRNA-Phe
Source: RNAcentral